Molecule: ribosomal RNA, 465 nt
Filed under: Brevibacillus reuszeri
Lineage: Bacteria; Bacillati; Bacillota; Bacilli; Caryophanales; Paenibacillaceae
Description: bacterial SSU rRNA
Rfam family: Bacterial small subunit ribosomal RNA
Source: RNAcentral
CCUACGGGAGGCAGCAGUAGGGAAUCUUCCGCAAUGGGCGAAAGCCUGACGGAGCAACGCCGCGUGAGUGAUGAAGGUUUUCGGAUCGUAAAGCUCUGUUGCCAAGGAAGAACGUCUCAUAGAGUAACUGCUAUGAGAGUGACGGUACUUGAGAAGAAAGCCCCGGCUAACUACGUGCCAGCAGCCGCGGUAAUACGUAGGGGGCAAGCGUUGUCCGGAAUUAUUGGGCGUAAAGCGCGCGCAGGCGGUUCUUUAAGUCUGGUGUUUAAACCUGGGGCUCAACUUCAGGUCGCACUGGAAACUGGGGGACUUGAGUGCAGAAGAGGAGAGUGGAAUUCCACGUGUAGCGGUGAAAUGCGUAGAUAUGUGGAGGAACACCAGUGGCGAAGGCGACUCUCUGGGCUGUAACUGACGCUGAGGCGCGAAAGCGUGGGGAGCAAACAGGAUUAGAUACCCUGGUAGUCC